CUCGGGGGGGGGGGGCCCUUAGCCCAGAUUGCGAGACGGUGCAGGCCAGGCCAGGGGACCCUACCGGUGCACG
This 73-nucleotide microRNA precursor is filed under the name Myotis brandtii (Brandt's bat). RNAcentral describes it as "mir-9193 microRNA precursor family". It matches the Rfam family "mir-9193 microRNA precursor family". Lineage: Eukaryota; Metazoa; Chordata; Mammalia; Chiroptera; Vespertilionidae. The record is from Rfam by way of RNAcentral.